This 73-nucleotide transfer RNA is filed under the name Camelus ferus (Wild Bactrian camel). It matches the Rfam family "tRNA". Rfam says of the family: Transfer RNA (tRNA) molecules are approximately 80 nucleotides in length. Their secondary structure includes four short double-helical elements and three loops (D, anti-codon, and T loops). Lineage: Eukaryota; Metazoa; Chordata; Mammalia; Artiodactyla; Camelidae. The record is from Rfam by way of RNAcentral.
GAGGGUAUAGCUCAACUGGUAGAGCACAUGCUUAGCAUGCAUGAGGUCCUGGGUUCAAUCCCCAAUACCUCCU